Molecule: ribosomal RNA, 179 nt
Filed under: uncultured bacterium
Lineage: Bacteria
Description: partial 16S ribosomal RNA
Rfam family: Bacterial small subunit ribosomal RNA
Source: RNAcentral
GAAGCUGGAAUUGCUAGUAAUGGCAGGUCAGCAUACUGCCGUGAAUACGUUCCCGGGCCUUGUACACACCGCCCGUCACACCAUGAGAGUUGGGAAUACCCGAAGCCUGUGAGCUAACAUUUAUGAGGCAGCAGUCGAAGGUAGAAUCAAUGAUUGGGGUGAAGUCGUAACAAGGUAAC